CGGGUGGCUGCAGCAGUGGGGAAUAUUGCACAAUGGAGGAAACUCUGAUGCAGCAACGCCGCGUGGAGGAUGACACUUUUCGGAGCGUAAACUCCUUUUAUAUAGGAAGAAGAUGACGGUACUAUAUGAAUAAGCGCCGGCUAACUCCGUGCCAGCAGCCGCGGUAAUACGGAGGGCGCAAGCGUUACUCGGAAUCACUGGGCGUAAAGAGCGUGUAGGCGGAUUAAAAAGUCAGAAGUGAAAUCCUAUAGCUUAACUAUAGAACUGCUUCUGAAACUCUUAAUCUAGAAUAUGGGAGAGGUAGAUGGAAUUUCUGGUGUAGGGGUAAAAUCCGUAGAGAUCAGAAGGAAUACCGAUUGCGAAGGCGAUCUACUAGAACAUUAUUGACGCUGAGACGCGAAAGCGUGGGGAGUAAACAGGAUUAGAUACCCCAGUAGUC
This 439-nucleotide ribosomal RNA is filed under the name uncultured bacterium. RNAcentral describes it as "partial 16S ribosomal RNA". It matches the Rfam family "Bacterial small subunit ribosomal RNA", at positions 342 to 795 of the family's 1533-position model. The record is from RNAcentral.